Molecule: long non-coding RNA, 240 nt
Filed under: Elaeis guineensis (African oil palm)
Lineage: Eukaryota; Viridiplantae; Streptophyta; Magnoliopsida; Arecales; Arecaceae
Description: long non-coding RNA (EGUI_LNC006450)
Source: RNAcentral
CUGAUCUGAGUAGUGGAGAACGGCAGUGGACGAAUAGUCAGCCAUGAAUCACGCAUUCCUCGACAAUUUCAUUUUGCUUUGCUGGCCUGGACCACUCUGUACCCAUGUUCGGUGGAUCUGUGCACUGGGGUGCAUAAUGUAGCCUAAAUGGACUUUGCGGACCGGGCUCAUAUCCUUCGCGCCAAGGAAGCAUUCGCCUUCCUUUGUACGAAUCAACCGUUGGAUCGUCCACCGCACAGG